Long non-coding RNA from Pogoniulus pusillus (Red-fronted tinkerbird), 571 nucleotides. RefSeq lists it as uncharacterized. The record is from RefSeq and is a predicted model, not a curated record. Lineage: Eukaryota; Metazoa; Chordata; Aves; Piciformes; Lybiidae. The transcript is spliced from 2 exons.
GGGGAGGGGGUAACCAAUGGAGUGAAGGAGGCUUGGCUAACCUUAGCCUCCCAUUUUCUCUCCCCCCCAAUUCAGGGCUCUGACCAGUCAGUCGCCUUUGAUUAUCAGUUGCCAGCAGCCCUUCUCUUGGCUCCUUGACACGAGCUCCAUAUAAGGCAGCGAUCUCCAUAGAAACGUGUCAGUUUCAAUAGUAGUGUCAAAGUUCACUAUAUACAGACAUUCGCGCAGAUCCCCCUUUCGGAAACAUUGCUCUGCUAGGCUUCCCGUUUAAACGCAUUCAUUUUUUGGGUCUCUCUCCCUCUCUCUCACUCCCUCUCUCUCUCUCUCUCUCCUCUCUCUCCCCUUUCUUGCAUAUUCUAUUAGUUGUGUGCUUUUUUUUUUUUUUCCCUCCCCUUCAUCUCCCUGUUCUCUUCCCUUUUCUUCUUUUUUCCACCCUUUCUCCUUGUGUCUUUCGCUUCAUUCCUGCAGGAGAAGAAGAGAGAGAGCAUCGUGAGCUCUCACAGGAGACGAAGAAGGAAGGAGAAAGAAGAGGAUUUAUUUACCCGACCUACUUUGGAUCUCUCUUUUUGCU